CUUAUUUCUACUACAUCUUUACUUAUACUCAGUUACAUAGUAUGACUAUAAGCUCAUCUUAAAUAUACUUCUUCAUGAUGCAUACUUUAAGCAUCUGCUCUAUCUUGUAAGCUCUACUAAAUAUUCUUAUUAUUUAUCUUAGACUGCUGCUGUAGCUAUUGCUAGUCAUUCUAGAUAUUUCUUUUGAUGUUAUAUUGUAAUCUGUGAUAGUGGCACUAUCUUCUGACUCAGUGAACAAGCUCAACAACACUAUAUAAGCCUCAAUCUUAUCUUAUAUUCAGUGAGAAGCUUGCUGAGUUAGAGACUCAGUAGCAACAUUGAUUAUCUCUAAUUCA
RNAcentral lists this small RNA (335 nucleotides) under Histoplasma ohiense. Its description in RNAcentral is "hypothetical lncRNA". Lineage: Eukaryota; Fungi; Ascomycota; Eurotiomycetes; Onygenales; Ajellomycetaceae. The record is from RNAcentral.